This 497-nucleotide ribosomal RNA is filed under the name uncultured bacterium. RNAcentral's name for it is "bacterial SSU rRNA". It matches the Rfam family "Bacterial small subunit ribosomal RNA", at positions 24 to 518 of the family's 1533-position model. The record is from RNAcentral.
UCAGGACGAACGCUGGCGGCGUGCUUAACACAUGCAAGUUGAACGGUAUGACAUGGAAGCUUGCUGAAGUGUCAUAUAGUAGCGGACGGGUGAGUAAUGCAUGAGAAGCUGCCAUUGGGAGGGGGACAACAGUUGGAAACGGCUGCUAAUACCCCGUAUGCCGGAGGGUGAAAGGGAGUAAUCCGCCCGAUGAGGUGCUCAUGUCCUAUCAGCUGGUUGGUGGGGUAACGGCCUACCAAGGCGACGACGGGUAGCCGGCCUGAGAGGGUGAACGGCCACACUGGAACUGAGAUACGGUCCAGACUCCUACGGGAGGCAGCAGUGGGGAAUCUUCCGCAAUGGACGAAAGUCUGACGGAGCAACGCCGCGUGAGUGAAGAAGGGUUUUUUCCGGAUCGUAAAACUCUGUUGUCAGAGAAGAACAAGUUGGAGAGUAACUGCUCCAGCCUUGACGGUAUCUGACCAGAAAGCCACGGCUAACUACGUGCCAGCAGCCGC